ACGUCUCUAGUGUAACGGCAGCAUCACUGGUUCCAACCCAGUUGGUCAGGGUUCAAAUCCUUGGGGACGUG
Molecule: transfer RNA, 71 nt
Filed under: Blastopirellula sediminis
Lineage: Bacteria; Pseudomonadati; Planctomycetota; Planctomycetia; Pirellulales; Pirellulaceae
Description: tRNA-Trp
Rfam family: tRNA
About the family: Transfer RNA (tRNA) molecules are approximately 80 nucleotides in length.
Source: RNAcentral